RNAcentral lists this ribosomal RNA (492 nucleotides) under uncultured bacterium. Its description in RNAcentral is "partial 16S ribosomal RNA". It matches the Rfam family "Bacterial small subunit ribosomal RNA", at positions 29 to 507 of the family's 1533-position model. The record is from RNAcentral.
AGUGAACGCUGGCGGUAGGCCUAACACAUGCAAGUCGAACGGCAGCACAGUAAGAGCUUGCUCUUACGGGUGGCGAGUGGCGGACGGGUGAGGAAUACAUCGGAAUCUACUUUUUCGUGGGGGAUAACGUAGGGAAACUUACGCUAAUACCGCAUACGACCUACGGGUGAAAGCAGGGGAUCUUCGGACCUUGCGCGUUUGAAUGAGCCGAUGUCGGAUUAGCUAGUUGGCGGGGUAAAGGCCCACCAAGGCGACGAUCCGUAGCUGGUCUGAGAGGAUGAUCAGCCACACUGGAACUGAGACACGGUCCAGACUCCUACGGGAGGCAGCAGUGGGGAAUAUUGGGCAAUGGGCGCAAGCCUGAUCCAGCCAUACCGCGUGGGUGAAGAAGGCCUUCGGGUUGUAAAGCCCUUUUGUUGGGAAAGAAAAGCAGCAGGUUAAUACCCCGCUGUUCUGACGGUACCCAAAGAAUAAGCACCGGCUAACUUCGUG